CCUAUGUCGGAUUAGCUAGUUGGUGAGGUAAUGGCUCACCAAGGCAGCGAUCCGUAGCUGGUCUGAGAGGAUGAUCAGCCACAUCGGGACUGAGACACGGCCCGAACUCCUACGGGAGGCAGCAGUGGGGAAUAUUGGACAAUGGGGGCAACCCUGAUCCAGCCAUGCCGCGUGUGUGAAGAAGGCCCUCGGGUUGUAAAGCACUUUCAGCGAGGAAGAACGCCUAGUGGUUAAUACCCAUUAGGAAAGACAUCACUCGCAGAAGAAGCACCGGCUAACUCCGUGCCAGCAGCCGCGGUAAUACGGAGGGUGCAAGCGUUAAUCGGAAUUACUGGGCGUAAAGCGCGCGUAGGUGGCUUGAUAAGCCGGUUGUGAAAGCCCCGGGCUCAACCUGGGAACGGCAUCCGGAACUGUCAGGCUAGAGUGCAGGAGAGGAAGGUAGAAUUCCCGGUGUAGCGGUGAAAUGCGUAGAGAUCGGGAGGAAUACCAGUGGCGAAGGCGGCCUUCUGGACUGACACUGACACUGAGGUGCGAAAGCGUGGGUAGCAAACAGGAUUAGAUACCCUGGUAGUCCACGCCGUAAACGAUGUCGACCAGCCGUUGGGUGCCUAGCGCACUUUGUGGCGAAGUUAACGCGAUAAGUCGACCGCCUGGGGAGUACGGCCGCAAGGUUAAAACUCAAAUGAAUUGACGGGGGCCCGCACAAGCGGUGGAGCAUGUGGUUUAAUUCGAUGCAACGCGAAGAACCUUACCUACCCUUGACAUCGACAGAAGCCGAGAGAGAUCUUGGUGUGCCUUCGGGAACUGUCAGACAGGUGCUGCAUGGCUGUCGUCAGCUCGUGUUGUGAAAUGUUGGGUUAAGUCCCGUAACGAGCGCAACCCUUGUCCUUAUUUGCCAGCGCGUAAUGGCGGGAACUCUAAGGAGACUGCCGGUGACAAACCGGAGGAAGGUGGGGACGACGUCAAGUCAUCAUGGCCCUUACGGGUAGGGCUACACACGUGCUACAAUGGCCGGUACAAAGGGCAGCGAGCUCGCGAGAGUCAGCGAAUCCCUUAAAGCCGGUCUCAGUCCGGAUCGGAGUCUGCAACUCGACUCCGGAAGUCGGAAUCGCUAGUAAUCGGAAUCAGA
RNAcentral lists this ribosomal RNA (1129 nucleotides) under uncultured bacterium. Its description in RNAcentral is "bacterial SSU rRNA". It matches the Rfam family "Bacterial small subunit ribosomal RNA", at positions 230 to 1353 of the family's 1533-position model. The record is from RNAcentral.